Molecule: RNase P RNA, 332 nt
Filed under: bovine gut metagenome
Description: Bacterial RNase P class A
Rfam family: Bacterial RNase P class A
About the family: Ribonuclease P (RNase P) is a ubiquitous endoribonuclease, found in archaea, bacteria and eukarya as well as chloroplasts and mitochondria.
Source: RNAcentral
AACGGUCGCGCGGUAUGUUGCCGAAAGGUAUUACCGUGAGGAAAGUCCGGGCUUCAUAGGACAAGGAUAGCUGAUAACGUCAGCCGUGGGUAACCACCGGGAAAGUGCAACAGAAAGAAACCGCCGCUCUGCGGUAAGGAUGGAAAGGCGAGGUAAGAGCUCACCCGUUCGUAUGGUAACAUACGUCCGCUGUAAACCCUAUCCGAAGCAACACCCCAUGGAAUGCUUUGUCCGGCAUAUAUUCCGAGGUGGCACGAAAGAAAUUUCGGAGCGUACCGGCGACGGUGCGCACAGAUUGAUGACCGUUCCCGACAGAACCCGGCUUACAGGCA